UACAGAGGGCUCAAGCGUUGUUCGGAUUCAUUGGGCGUAAAGGGUGUGUAGGUGGCGCGGUAAGUCGGGUGUGAAAUUUCGGAGCUUAACUCCGAAACUGCAUUCGAUACUGCGGUGCUUGAGGACUGGAGAGGAGACUGGAAUUCAUGGUGUAGCAGUGAAAUGCGUAGAGAUCAUGAGGAAGACCAGUGGCGAAGGCGGGUCUCUGGACAGUUCCUGACACUGAGACACGAAGGCCAGGGGAGCAAACGGG
RNAcentral lists this ribosomal RNA (253 nucleotides) under uncultured bacterium. RNAcentral describes it as "partial 16S ribosomal RNA". It matches the Rfam family "Bacterial small subunit ribosomal RNA", at positions 524 to 776 of the family's 1533-position model. The record is from RNAcentral.